RNAcentral lists this ribosomal RNA (498 nucleotides) under uncultured bacterium. Its description in RNAcentral is "partial 16S ribosomal RNA". It matches the Rfam family "Bacterial small subunit ribosomal RNA", at positions 30 to 523 of the family's 1533-position model. The record is from RNAcentral.
AUUGAACGCUGGCGGCAUGCCUUACACAUGCAAGUCGAACGGUAACAGGUCUUCGGAUGCUGACGAGUGGCGAACGGGUGAGUAAUACAUCGAAACGUGCCUAGUAGUGGGGGAUAACUACUCGAAAGAGUGGCUAAUACCGCAUGAGAUCUACGGAUGAAAGCAGGGGAUCGCAAGACCUUGUGCUACUAGAGCGGCCGAUGGCAGAUUAGGUAGUUGGUGGGAUAAAAGCUUACCAAGCCGACGAUCUGUAGCUGGUCUGAGAGGACGAUCAGCCACACGGGGACUGAGAAACGGCCCAGACUCCGACGGGAGGCAGCAGUGGGGAAUUUUGGACAAUGGGCGCAAGCCUGAUCCAGCAAUGCCGCGUGCAGGAUGAAGGCCUUCGGGUUGUAAACUGCUUUUGUACGGAACGAAAAGCCCCGGGUUAAUACCCUGGGGUCAUGACGGUACCGUAAGAAUAAGCACCGGCUAACUACGUGCCAGCCGCCGCGGUAA